Molecule: ribosomal RNA, 430 nt
Filed under: uncultured bacterium
Lineage: Bacteria
Description: bacterial SSU rRNA
Rfam family: Bacterial small subunit ribosomal RNA
Source: RNAcentral
UGAGGAAUAUUGCGCAAUGGACGAAAGUCUGACGCAGCCAUGCCGCGUGCAGGAUGACGGCCCUAUGGGUUGUAAAGUUCUUUUGUCUGGGAGCAAAAGUUGCGUAUGAAUAGUAUGUAAUGAUGAGAGUACCAGAAGAAUAAGCACCGGCUAACUACGUGCCAGCAGCCGCGGUAAUACGUAGGGUGCGAGCGUUAAUCGGAAUUGCUGGGCGUAAAGGGUGCGUAGGCUGAAAUACAAGUUAGAUGUGAAAUACCCGAGCUUAACUUGGGAGGUGCAUAUAAUACUGUAUAUCUAGAGUUAGUGAGAGGAUGGGGGAAUUCCGAGUGUAGCAGUGAAAUGCGCAGAGAUUCGGAGGAACAUCGGUGGCGAAGGCGAAUCUCUGGGCAUUACCUGACGCUCAUGCACGAAGGCCAGGGGAGCAAACGGG